AACGAACGCUGGCGGCAGGCCUAACACAUGCAAGUCGAGCGCGCCCUUCGGGGUGAGCGGCGGACGGGUGAGUAACGCGUGGGAACGUGCCCUUUUCUACGGAAUAGCCUCGGGAAACUGAGAGUAAUACCGUAUACGCCCUUUGGGGGAAAGAUUUAUCGGAAAAGGAUCGGCCCGCGUUGGAUUAGGUAGUUGGUGGGGUAAUGGCCUACCAAGCCGACGAUCCAUAGCUGGUUUGAGAGGAUGAUCAGCCACACUGGGACUGAGACACGGCCCAGACUCCUACGGGAGGCAGCAGUGGGGAAUCUUAGACCAUGGGGGCAACCCUGAUCUAGCCAUGCCGCGUGAGUUAUGAAGGCCUUAGGGUUGUAAAGCUCUUUCAGCUGGGAAGAUAAUGGCGGUACCAGCAGAAGAAGCCCCGGCUAACUCCGUG
Molecule: ribosomal RNA, 433 nt
Filed under: uncultured bacterium
Lineage: Bacteria
Description: partial 16S ribosomal RNA
Rfam family: Bacterial small subunit ribosomal RNA
Source: RNAcentral